CCUACGGGUGGCUGCAGUGGGGAAUAUUGGACAAUGGGGGCAACCCUGAUCCAGCCAUGCCGCGUGUGUGAAGAAGGCCCUCGGGUUGUAAAGCACUUUCAGUGAGGAAGAACGCCUGGUGGUUAAUACCCAUCAGGAAAGACAUCACUCACAGAAGAAGCACCGGCUAACUCCGUGCCAGCAGCCGCGGUAAUACGGAGGGUGCGAGCGUUAAUCGGAAUUACUGAGCGUAAAGCGCGCGUAGGUGGCUUGAUAAGCCGGUUGUGAAAGCCCCGGGCUCAACCUGGGAACGGCAUCCGGAACUGUCAAGCUAGAGUGCAGGAGAGGAAGGUAGAAUUCCCGGUGUAGCGGUGAAAUGCGUAGAGAUCGGGAGGAAUACCAGUGGCGAAGGCGGCCUUCUGGACUGACACUGACACUGAGGUGCGAAAGCGUGGGUAGCAAACAGGAUUAGAUACCCUUGUAGUC
Molecule: ribosomal RNA, 465 nt
Filed under: Vreelandella stevensii
Lineage: Bacteria; Pseudomonadati; Pseudomonadota; Gammaproteobacteria; Oceanospirillales; Halomonadaceae
Description: partial 16S ribosomal RNA
Rfam family: Bacterial small subunit ribosomal RNA
Source: RNAcentral